AGGGACUUAGGUUAAAGCAGACCAAGGGCCUUCAAAGCCCUAAGCGGGAGUUAGAGCCUCCCAGACCCUG
Molecule: transfer RNA, 70 nt
Filed under: Ambassis gymnocephalus (bald glassy)
Lineage: Eukaryota; Metazoa; Chordata; Actinopteri; Ambassidae
Description: tRNA-Trp
Rfam family: tRNA
About the family: Transfer RNA (tRNA) molecules are approximately 80 nucleotides in length.
Source: RNAcentral